GGAGAGCAGGGCCUCCGCCUGGCCUAAGAGCUCCAAAGCCAUUGCAGGGUAGAGGAGAAAAUGAAGCCAUCCCUUAACUGUGAGGGGUGCAGGACCUCUAAGACCAAGCAUGGGCUGACACAGCCUGGACACUUAGGUUAUCGUGAAGCUCCCAGAUCACUGUGGCCUCUGGGCAGAUUUAGAAGUUUUUAAAGAGCAUUGAACCUGUGAUCACAAGAUGGCUGCCAAGGGGUUAGAAUGAUGGAAAAUGGAAGCUCCCUGGAAAAUGUCCCACAGCCUUACAGACAUCUCUGAUGUCAACUGCACAAUGAUGUGAAUUAUUGUUUUCGCUAUCCUGUUUCUUUUGGGAAAUUUGACGCACUGUCCCUCCAUCUCAUCAUCAAUGUCAUUAAAACAAACGUUGAGGAGUACUGUGCCCAUGACCUUGUGACGUCCCAUGGAAUACAUCCUUCCAUCUCAUUCUGGCAUCAAAACCAUUGGAAAGCAUUGGAGAACUGCUCCUGUCUGUGCUCCUGCUCUCUGAAGAUGCCGGUCACAGAUGCU
Molecule: non-coding RNA, 543 nt
Organism: Python bivittatus (Burmese python)
Lineage: Eukaryota; Metazoa; Chordata; Lepidosauria; Squamata; Pythonidae
Source: RefSeq, a predicted model, not a curated record